UGAGCAAUCUGCCCUUCACAUCGGGAUAACCCCCGGAAACGGGAGCUAAUACCGGAUACGACCACUUCAGGCAUCUGAUGGUGGUGGAAAGUUCUGGCGGUGAAGGAUGAGCUCGCGGCCUAUCAGCUUGUUGGUGAGGUAAUGGCCCACAAGGCUUCGGACGGGUAGCCGGCCUGAGGAGGGUGACCGGCCACACGUGGGACUGAGACACGGUCCAGACCUCCGUACG
Molecule: ribosomal RNA, 229 nt
Filed under: uncultured bacterium
Lineage: Bacteria
Description: partial 16S ribosomal RNA
Rfam family: Bacterial small subunit ribosomal RNA
Source: RNAcentral